This 477-nucleotide ribosomal RNA is filed under the name Triticum aestivum (bread wheat). Its description in RNAcentral is "partial small subunit ribosomal RNA". Lineage: Eukaryota; Viridiplantae; Streptophyta; Magnoliopsida; Poales; Poaceae. The record is from RNAcentral.
AUGUUGGAGAUUUUGGUCUUGCUAAGAUUCUUAAACGAGGGAAGCUCAUUACUCGAGCAGUCCACGAGCUCAACGGGAUUUCGAGGGACAAUUGGUUAUGCUGCCCCAGAGUAUGGUGUUGGAAACCCCGUGUCCAAGCAUGGAGAUGUUUACAGUUAUGGCAUUCUUGUGUUGGAAACAGCCACUGGAAAGAGGCCCACCGAUAGCAAAUUCAGACAAGGAUUGAGCCUUCGUGAGUAUGUUGAGCUUGGUCUAUGUGAUAGUAUGAUGGAGGUUGUGGACAUGCGGCUAUCGUUGGAUCUUGAGUAUGGGCUUCAAACUGUGAGUGCUUCUGCCUACAAGAGAACGACUGAUUGCCUUGUUUCGCUACUUAAACUCGGAAUUUCCUGCUCUCAGGAAUUGCCGUCAAGUAGAAUGCCAACCGGAGAUAUCGUCAAGGAACUUCAUGCCAUGAAAGAAUCUCUCUCGAGGGAGUAG